RNAcentral lists this ribosomal RNA (195 nucleotides) under Triticum aestivum (bread wheat). RNAcentral describes it as "partial small subunit ribosomal RNA". Lineage: Eukaryota; Viridiplantae; Streptophyta; Magnoliopsida; Poales; Poaceae. The record is from RNAcentral.
AUGACGAAUGAAGUGGAUCAACCUCUUUUUGGCUCGGGCCAAACACUUUUUCUCGCUGGUAGAGCUUUCUAAAAAAAAAAGCGAUGCGAGAGCGUAUUCUCUUAUCUAAGCUUCCGCCGAGGGCGUCCUUGGGGUGAUCUCGUAGUUCCUACGGGGUGGAGACAAUGGGGUACCAUCUUUUUGCAGUGGGGUUGA